UACGGAGGGUGCAAGCGUUGUCCGGAUUUAUUGGGUUUAAAGGGUGCGUAGGCGGACUAAUAAGUCAGUGGUGAAAGCCUGCAGCUUAACUGCAGAAUUGCCGUUGAUACUGUUAGUCUUGAGUACAGUUGAGGUAGGCGGAAUGUGUCAUGUAGCGGUGAAAUGCUUAGAUAUGACACAGAACACCGAUUGCGAAGGCAGCUUGCUAAGCUGUAACUGACGCUGAGGCACGAAAGCGUGGGGAGCAAACAGG
This 253-nucleotide unclassified non-coding RNA is filed under the name uncultured Sphingobacteriales bacterium. RNAcentral describes it as "contains 16S-23S intergenic spacer region". It matches the Rfam family "Bacterial small subunit ribosomal RNA", at positions 524 to 776 of the family's 1533-position model. The record is from RNAcentral. Lineage: Bacteria; Pseudomonadati; Bacteroidota; Sphingobacteriia; Sphingobacteriales.